CACGCGGGAGGCCCGGGUUCGAUUCCCGGC
This 30-nucleotide non-coding RNA is filed under the name Gallus gallus (chicken). RNAcentral also lists the same sequence under 4 other names. The record is from RNAcentral. Lineage: Eukaryota; Metazoa; Chordata; Aves; Galliformes; Phasianidae.